GUGCCAUCUUAUGCUUUCUCCUCCUUUUUCUCUCCUUCUUCUUUGCAGUAUUUUUUUCAUCUACAACUGGGCUCACGUCCUCCAUUUCUGCCUGGAGAUAAUCUGGUAUGUCCAGAGGGACCAGCACUCUUCCAGAGCCACACUCGGGCUUUUCCCUGCCCUGGCAUCCAGCGCUGUUUGCUGCUGCACUCAUUGCCUCCUCUUCCAGCUUACUCGUCCCAGGUUCACCACCAACCACACUGGAAGGUAGCAGCUCAGGGGCCUCCAUGCUGACCCUCACACUCCGUGCAGUGGCGACACUUUCCUGAUCCUCCGAGUCGCUGCUUGUUGAUGACUCCUCGACUUUACUCAGAGGAGAGGCUUUCU
RNAcentral lists this long non-coding RNA (366 nucleotides) under Gallus gallus (chicken). Lineage: Eukaryota; Metazoa; Chordata; Aves; Galliformes; Phasianidae. The record is from RNAcentral.